AUUUAAUGCAGGGGAGUUGGAUGACAUAAAUGAGACAAAAUUUGUCAGGAUUAUUAACCCUUUCCUCCAUAAGGAACUUAUCAUUUCUUAUUUGGGAGGGGGGGACUGGUCAUAAAAAAGGGGGUUCAAUUUUGUUUAUAAAUUCAAAGGGGGGAUCAAUAUUUUUUGAACAUGGAAAUAAGUAUUUAACAUUCUUCAAGAGACAAAAUGUCGAAGAACAUCAAAACAGUCAAAUGGAAAUAUAUGUUUACCACUAUUCAUAUACAAUAAAGUAAAACAACACAGGAAUUUGGUGAUGUAGGAAGCUGC
Molecule: long non-coding RNA, 309 nt
Filed under: Mytilus galloprovincialis (Mediterranean mussel)
Lineage: Eukaryota; Metazoa; Mollusca; Bivalvia; Mytilida; Mytilidae
Source: RNAcentral